Molecule: ribosomal RNA, 468 nt
Filed under: uncultured bacterium
Lineage: Bacteria
Description: partial 16S ribosomal RNA
Rfam family: Bacterial small subunit ribosomal RNA
Source: RNAcentral
GACGAACGCUGGCGGCGUGCUUAACACAUGCAAGUCGAACGGAAAGGCCCUGCUUUUGUGGGGUGCUCGAGUGGCGAACGGGUGAGUAACACGUGAGUAACCUGCCCUUGACUUUGGGAUAACUUCAGGUAACUGGGGCUAAUACCGGAUAGGAGCUCCUGCUGCAUGGUGGGGGUUGGAAAGUUUCGGCGGUUGGGGAUGGACUCGCGGCUUAUCAGCUUGUUGGUGGGGUAGUGGCUUACCAAGGCUUUGACGGGUAGCCGGCCUGAGAGGGUGACCGGCGACAUUGGGACUGAGAUACGGCCCAGACUCCUACGGGAGGCAGCAGUGGGGAAUAUUGCACAAUGGGCGGAAGCCUGAUGCAGCAACGCCGCGUGCGGGAUGACGGCCUUCGGGUUGUAAACCGCUUUCGCCUGUGACGAAGCGGGAGUGACGGUAAUGGGUAAAGAAGCACCGGCUAACUACGUG